GAUAAGAACGUAGCGAAAUGCGAUAAGUAGUGUGAAUUGCAGAAUUCAGUGAAUCAUCGAAUCUUUGAACGCACAUUGCGCCCUUUGGUAUUCCAAAGGGCAUGCCUGUUCGAGCGUCAUUUGUACCCUCAAGCUUUGCUUGGUGUUGGGCGUCUUGUCUCUAGCUUUGCUGGAGACUCGCCUUAAAGUAAUUGGCAGCCGGCCUACUGGUUUCGGAGCGCAGCACAAGUCGCACUCUCUAUCAGCAAAGGUCUAGCAUCCAUUAAGCCUUUUUUUCAACUUUUGACCUCGGAUCAGGUAGGGAUACCCGCUGAACUUAAGCAUAUCAAUAAGCGGAGGA
Molecule: unclassified non-coding RNA, 340 nt
Filed under: soil metagenome
Description: partial contains 5.8S ribosomal RNA, internal transcribed spacer 2, and large subunit ribosomal RNA
Rfam family: 5.8S ribosomal RNA (bases 4-119)
Source: RNAcentral